RNAcentral lists this ribosomal RNA (253 nucleotides) under uncultured bacterium. RNAcentral's name for it is "partial 16S ribosomal RNA". It matches the Rfam family "Bacterial small subunit ribosomal RNA", at positions 524 to 776 of the family's 1533-position model. The record is from RNAcentral.
UACGUAGGGGGCAAGCGUUGUCCGGAAUCAUUGGGCGUAAAGAGCGUGUAGGCGGCCCGGUAAGUCCGCUGUGAAAGUCGGGGGCUCAACCCUCGAAUGCCGGUGGAUACUGUCGGGCUAGAGUGCGGAAGAGGCGAGUGGAAUUCCUGGUGUAGCGGUGAAAUGCGCAGAUAUCAGGAGGAACACCAAUUGCGAAGGCAGCUCGCUGGGACGUAACUGACGCUGAGGCGCGAAAGCGUGGGGAGCAAACAGG